RNAcentral lists this ribosomal RNA (253 nucleotides) under uncultured Steroidobacter sp. RNAcentral describes it as "partial 16S ribosomal RNA". It matches the Rfam family "Bacterial small subunit ribosomal RNA", at positions 524 to 776 of the family's 1533-position model. The record is from RNAcentral. Lineage: Bacteria; Pseudomonadati; Pseudomonadota; Gammaproteobacteria; Steroidobacterales; Steroidobacteraceae.
UACAGAGGGUGCGAGCGUUAAUCGGAAUUACUGGGCGUAAAGCGCGCGUAGGCGGCUUUGCAAGUCGGAUGUGAAAUCCCCAGGCUUAACCUGGGAACUGCAUUCGAGACUGCAUUGCUAGAGUAUGGGAGAGGGAAGUGGAAUUUCAGGUGUAGCGGUGAAAUGCGUAGAUAUCUGAAGGAACAUCAGUGGCGAAAGCGACUUCCUGGACCAAUACUGACGCUCAUGUGCGAAAGCGUGGGGCGCAAACAGG